RNAcentral lists this long non-coding RNA (235 nucleotides) under Homo sapiens (human). RNAcentral's name for it is "novel transcript". Lineage: Eukaryota; Metazoa; Chordata; Mammalia; Primates; Hominidae. The record is from RNAcentral.
GGGAUGCCCUGCAGCCUGGCUGCAACAUUGUGACCAUAGUUUAUACACUGUACAGUAGCACAACCCUGGUGGCUCUCUCCACAGGGCAAGGGGUGGACCUCUUCAUGCUUGACUUGGCUCUUGGUGAAUUUGUACUGGUGGAAAAAGAUGUCAAGAUUAGUAAGAAAGGAAAGAUUUACAACCUGAAUGAGGGCAAUGCUAAGUAUUUUGACAGGGCCGUCACCGAAUAUGUGCA